CAGAUAACCGAGCGCUAGCGAAAUCCGGAUCACGAUCUCAAACAUCCACACUAGAAAGGAAGAAGGACACGAAACACAUGCAUCACAGGGUGUAUCUAGGAACAUAAACGCGGGAGGAGACGGAGCAACGACACCGUCGGCCGGGGCGGUGACGCGACGGGAGGGCAGGGGUACGAGAUCAGUCGUCGCGCUUCUUGAGCUUGUCGACGCGCUGCUGGAGGUGGUCGAGCUUGACGACGAGGGAGGUGACGGAGAAGAGGAUCCAGUAGAGGAGCAGCGCGGCGGCGAUGAGGAGGGCGUUGCGCUGGGACUUCAUGAUGGACUUCUGGUGGCGGAGGUGCUCGGAGGGGGUGCAGGCGUGCUCGUCGUCGCAGGUGGGCCGCAUCUCGUACUUCCAGUAGAUGUCCAUGAGCAGGAAGAGGCAGAAGGGCACCACCGACAUCAUGGGCUUGAGCGCGCUCCGCACGACGGAGAUCAUCCCGCGCCGGAGCGCGUCCAGACCCGGCAGC
This 509-nucleotide long non-coding RNA is filed under the name Hordeum vulgare. RNAcentral describes it as "long non-coding RNA (HVUL_LNC016695)". Lineage: Eukaryota; Viridiplantae; Streptophyta; Magnoliopsida; Poales; Poaceae. The record is from RNAcentral.